UACGUAGGGGGCAAGCGUUGUCCGGAAUCAUUGGGCGUAAAGAGCGUGUAGGCGGCCCGAUAAGUCCGCCGUGAAAGUCCAGGGCUCAACCCUGGAAUGCCGGUGGAAACUGUCGGGCUGGAGUCCGGAAGAGGCGAGUGGAAUUCCUGGUGUAGCGGUGAAAUGCGCAGAUAUCAGGAAGAACACCCGUGGCGAAGGCGGCUCUCUGGGACGGUACUGACGCUGAGACGCGAAAGCGUGGGGAGCAAACAGG
RNAcentral lists this ribosomal RNA (253 nucleotides) under uncultured bacterium. RNAcentral describes it as "partial 16S ribosomal RNA". It matches the Rfam family "Bacterial small subunit ribosomal RNA", at positions 524 to 776 of the family's 1533-position model. The record is from RNAcentral.